RNAcentral lists this ribosomal RNA (446 nucleotides) under uncultured bacterium. RNAcentral's name for it is "partial 16S ribosomal RNA". It matches the Rfam family "Bacterial small subunit ribosomal RNA", at positions 338 to 795 of the family's 1533-position model. The record is from RNAcentral.
CCUACGGGAGGCAGCAGUCGAGAAUCAUUCACAAUGGGGGAAACCCUGAUGGUGCGACGCCGCGUGGGGGAAUGAAGGUCUUCGGAUUGUAAACCCCUGUCAUGUGGGAGCAAAUUAAAAAGAUAGUACCACAAGAGGAAGAGACGGCUAACUCUGUGCAAGCAGCCGCGGUAAUACAGAGGUCUCAAGCGUUGUUCGGAAUCACUGGGCGUAAAGGGUGCGUAGGCUGUUUCGUAAGUCGUGUGUGAAAGGCGCGGGCUCAACCCGCGGACGGCACAUGAUACUGCGAGGCUAGAGUAAUGGAGGGGGAACCGGAAUUCUCGGUGUAGCAGUGAAAUGCGUAGAUAUCGAGAGGAACACUCGUGGCGAAGGCGGGUUCCUGGACAUUAACUGACGCUGAGGCACGAAGGCCAGGGGAGCGAAAGGGAUUAGAUACCCGAGUAGUC